This 905-nucleotide ribosomal RNA is filed under the name uncultured bacterium. Its description in RNAcentral is "bacterial SSU rRNA". It matches the Rfam family "Bacterial small subunit ribosomal RNA", at positions 33 to 902 of the family's 1533-position model. The record is from RNAcentral.
ACGCUGGCGGCGUGCUUAACACAUGCAAGUCGAACGAGAGCGUAGAGAAAGCUUGCUUUUUCUACAAUCUAGUGGCAAACGGGUGAGUAACGCGUAAACAACCUGCCCUACGGAUGGGGACAACAGCUGGAAACGGCUGCUAAUACUGAAUACGUUCCGAAAGUCGCAUGACUAUCGGAAGAAAGGAUGGCCUCUAUUUAUAAGCUAUCGCCGGAGGAGGGGUUUGCGUCUGAUUAGCUAGUUGGAGGGGUAACGGCCCACCAAGGCGACGAUCAGUAGCCGGUCUGAGAGGAUGAACGGCCACAUUGGAACUGAGACACGGUCCAGACUCCUACGGGAGGCAGCAGUGGGGAAUCUUCCGCAAUGGGCGAAAGCCUGACGGAGCAACGCCGCGCGAGUGAAGACGGCCUUCGGGUUGUAAAGCUCUGUUAUACGGGACGAAUAAUCUUGUGGUUAAUACCCAUAAGAAGUGACGGUACCGUAAGAGAAAGCCACGGCUAACUACGUGCCAGCAGCCGCGGUAAUACGUAGGUGGCAAGCGUUGUCCGGAAUUAUUGGGCGUAAAGGGCGCGCAGGCGGCUUCUUAAGUCUGUCUUAAAAGUGCGGGGCUUAACCCCGUGAUGGGGUGGAAACUGGGAAGCUCAGAGUAUCGGAGAGGAAAGCGGAAUUCCUAGUGUAGCGGUGAAAUGCGUAGAUAUUAGGAGGAACACCAGUGGCGAAAGCGGCUUUUCUGGACGAAAACUGACGCUGAGGCGCGAAAGCCAGGGGAGCGAACGGGAUUAGAUACCCCGGUAGUCCUGGCCGUAAACGAUGGGUACUAGGUGUAGGAGGUAUCGACCCCUUCUGUGCCGGAUUUAACGCAAUAAGUACCCCGCCUGGGGAGUACGGCCGCAAGGUUGAAACUC